AGAUAAUCCCGGGCAACCGGGGAAAAACACACGGCAGCUGGUGCCGCGUUGUUCCUCUACCUUAGCAGCAAUGCGGGUGGCAGGCAGAUGUCACCAGCUCCUCUGGACGGUGUCACGACCGUCUAGCAGCGUGAAGUGGAGCUGCGCGGCAAGGUGCGAUUAGAAACCGCAUCCGAGCCGAGUUAGGCCUGCAGGGAGUUUCGACCUGCCCGCCUACACAGUAACCCAGAGGGUUUCGGUUGCUACUGUGCUAACCAGCACGCAAUCAUGGCAUUUGGCGGGACAACCCCGCCAUAAGGUUCUGGGUCCAAAACACCUAGGGCGUACAAAGAUGACGUGGUUGCGGGGAGUGAGCGCGCCUGGCAAAGCGCGUAAACCUCCUUCUUGGGGCGGUUCUGUAAAACGGGAUCACCCAACUGCGAUACCAAAGCAACCUGAGAGUUAAGAGGUCAGACCCGUAGCACGCGGUAAACGUCCGGUCAAAAGCCGGAGCCGCCCGUGUGAAAAGGGUGCCGACGCGACAGAUCGAAAGAUCGCAGGCGUGUCAGUACCUCGUUCAGCGCGCUCGCUGCCGGCAGGCAGUAGCCGAACUGGGCGAAAAGACCUCACUCGACAGAUCGCGAUCGGAAACGGUCACGACGGUCCCGCCAUGAGACCGAUACCGCUGCCUUCCGCAGCGAGUGGCGUCGGGGAACAUACGGCCCGCGAAAGCGAGUGCGCCCAAUGUAUGUGCCGGGGAAGAGCGAGUGGCGAACGAG
This 758-nucleotide non-coding RNA is filed under the name unclassified sequences. RNAcentral's name for it is "MISL RNA". It matches the Rfam family "MISL RNA". The record is from Rfam by way of RNAcentral.